AUGCUGCUGAAGAUUAAUCUGGAGGAGAGCGCUUCCAGGAGCGUCCUGCCUCCCACUCAGAGCGGCCCGGUCUGCGGCCGGCCCACAGAGCUCGCUACAGAUCUGUCUACAGGACUCCUGACGUUUGCACAGUUUGGGCAAAACGAUCUUCCGGAUACAAAGGCUCCGCCUCCGGCCGAGGACGACCACGCUCGGAGCGAAGGGCUCGACAGCGACCACUUCAGCGGCAGCAACUCCAGCUUCCUGGCCAACGAGAAGCUCAUGUGUGCCGACAGCAUGAGCAGCGACCUCACCGAUGACGACAUCGACUUGAACAACCUGCCGGACGACGAGCUGGAGCUGUACUUCAACAAGCUGGUGCCCCCCGCCAUGCAGAGGGGCCGGGUGGAGGGCCAGGAGAUCCCCACCGUGAGACCGCCUCAUUCAUACUGCAUCAAUACGCUCGCAUGCGACGGGACGGGAAAGACGUUUCUUUGAGUUCCUCGUUAACGAAGCCUGUCUUGAACAGGGA
This 511-nucleotide long non-coding RNA is filed under the name Salarias fasciatus (jewelled blenny). RNAcentral describes it as "lncRNA (ENSSFAG00005012491.1)". The record is from RNAcentral. Lineage: Eukaryota; Metazoa; Chordata; Actinopteri; Blenniiformes; Blenniidae.